GAUGAACGCUGGCGGCGUGCCUAAUACAUGCAAGUCGAGCGAACGGACGAGAAGCUUGCUUUUCUGAUGUUAGCGGCGGACGGGUGAGUAACACGUGGAUAACCUACCUAUAAGACUGGGAUAACUUCGGGAAACCGGAGCUAAUACCGGAUAAAAUUUUGAACCGCAUGGUUCAAAAGUGAAAGACGGUCUUGCUGUCACUUAUAGAUGGAUCCGCGCUGCAUUAGCUAGUUGGUAAGGUAACGGCUUACCAAGGCAACGAUGCAUAGCCGACCUGAGAGGGUGAUCGGCCACACUGGAACUGAGACACGGUCCAGACUCCUACGGGAGGCAGCAGUAGGGAAUCUUCCGCAAUGGGCGAAAGCCUGACGGAGCAACGCCGCGUGAGUGAUGAAGGUCUUCGGAUCGUAAAACUCUGUUAUUAGGGAAGAACAUAUGUGUAAGUAACUGUGCACAUCUUGACGGUACCUAAUCAGAAAGCCACGGCUAACUACGUG
Molecule: ribosomal RNA, 497 nt
Filed under: uncultured bacterium
Lineage: Bacteria
Description: partial 16S ribosomal RNA
Rfam family: Bacterial small subunit ribosomal RNA
Source: RNAcentral